Molecule: long non-coding RNA, 288 nt
Filed under: Homo sapiens (human)
Lineage: Eukaryota; Metazoa; Chordata; Mammalia; Primates; Hominidae
Description: non-protein coding lnc-PRKCZ-1:1
Source: RNAcentral
UGUGACAGCUUAUUUCACUCAGCACCAUGUCCUCAAGGCGCAGCCAUGCGUAGCCUGUGUCACAGUCUCCUUCCUUCUCAAGACUGAACCGCAGGCUGCUGUAUGGAUGUAUUUUGUUUACCCAUUUCUGUCAGUGGACACACGGGUGACUUCCACAGUUUAGCUGUCGUGAAUGAUGCUGCUGUGAGCACGGGUGCACAGUGACCUCUGGAGACCCUGCCUUCAGUUCUGGGUGUAGACCCAGAAGUGGGAUUGCUGGAUCAUUGAUCAUUCUAUUUUUAUUCAUUU